UCUCCGUUGGUGAACCAGCGGAGGGAUCAUUACAGAGUUGCAAAACUCCCAAACCCUUGUGAACGUUACCUAUCCCGUUGCUUCGGCGGGCGGCCCGGGCCCCGCGCCCGGCGCCCCCCGGCCCCCCGUGGGCGCCCGCCGGAGGUAAACCAAACCCUUGAAUUGCAUGGCCUCUCUGAGGCUUCUGUACUGAAUAAGUCAAAACUUUCAACAACGGAUCUCUUGGUUCUG
RNAcentral lists this unclassified non-coding RNA (231 nucleotides) under plant metagenome. RNAcentral describes it as "partial contains small subunit ribosomal RNA, internal transcribed spacer 1, and 5.8S ribosomal RNA". The record is from RNAcentral.